CGGCACUAGAUGUAUGCUCGUCCUCGCUGUCGCCGCAGGGGAAUCCGGUGCGAAUCCGGAACUGUCCCGCAACGGUGUACUUGCGUGCAUUCGCACGCUCGCGUCAGUCCGAGGACCUGCCGGCAGCGCACCCGGCCG
This 138-nucleotide non-coding RNA is filed under the name Streptomyces roseochromogenus. The record is from RNAcentral. Lineage: Bacteria; Bacillati; Actinomycetota; Actinomycetes; Kitasatosporales; Streptomycetaceae.